Molecule: ribosomal RNA, 468 nt
Filed under: uncultured bacterium
Lineage: Bacteria
Description: partial 16S ribosomal RNA
Rfam family: Bacterial small subunit ribosomal RNA
Source: RNAcentral
GACGAACGCUGGCGGCGUGCUUAACACAUGCAAGUCGAACGGAAAGGCCCUGCUUUUGUGGGGUGCUCGAGUGGCGAACGGGUGAGUAACACGUGAGUAACCUGCCCUUGACUUUGGGAUAACUUCAGGAAACUGGGGCUAAUACCGGAUAGGAGCUCCUGCUGCAUGGUGGGGGUUGGAAAGUUUCGGCGGUUGGGGAUGGACUCGCGGCUUAUCAGCUUGUUGGUGGGGUAGUGGCUUACCAAGGCUUUGACGGGUAGCCGGCCUGAGAGGGUGACCGGCCACAUUGGGACUGAGAUACGGCCCAGAAUCCUACGGGAGGCAGCAGUGGGGAAUAUUGCACAAUGGGCGGAAGCCUGAUGCAGCAACGCCGCGUGCGUGAUGACGGCCUUCGGGUUGUAAACCGCUUUCGCCUGUGACGAAGCGUGAGUGACGGUAAUGGGUAAAGAAGCACCGGCUAACUACGUG